UACAGAGGUCCCAAGCGUUGUUCGGAUUCACUGGGCGUAAAGGGUGCGUAGGCGGCAAGGUAAGUCUGACGUGAAAUCUCCGAGCCUAACUCGGAAACUGCGUUGGAUACUAUCUUGCCCGAGGAGUGGAGGGGAGACUGGAAUACUUGGUGUAGCAGUGAAAUGCGUAGAUAUCAAGUGGAACACCAGUGGCGAAGGCGAGUCUCUGGACAUUUCCUGACGCUGAGGCACGAAAGCCAGGGGAGCAAACGGG
Molecule: ribosomal RNA, 253 nt
Filed under: uncultured prokaryote
Description: partial 16S ribosomal RNA
Rfam family: Bacterial small subunit ribosomal RNA
Source: RNAcentral